AGAUCCAGAGUCUACUGCAAAUGUGCCACGUCAAGGCUAGAAAUCGCAGCACUUCAGCGCAUUUCAAGGAGUGUUGCAGGGCUUGAAGCAAAGAGGAGAACAGAGCCUGAUGCGGGAAGGGGAUUUUCCCCCCCACAGACUAAAGGAGGAUUAUUGUUAAUCUCACCCUAUCCUGCUCCGUCGCCCCAGUGUUCAGACUACCUGUUCAGGACAAUGCUGUUGUACAGUAGUCUGCACAUUGGUUAGACUGGGCAAGGGAACGCAGCGGCCUGGACUCCCGAGAACAUCGCGCACAGAAGAGCAGGAUGGCUCCUUUCAGAACUGACCUAGAGUCUUUUUCUUCACAGGUUUUGCAUGCUAGGAAAUAGGGACACUGUCCAGGCACACGGGAAGAGGACUUCUCUGAGUAAUGCACGGAAGACAUUCCGGUAAGGCCACUUCAGAAGAGCGUCUGACCUACGAUCUGGAAAUAGGGGACACUCCUUACCCUGCUGUGUCAGGCAAGAAAACUGGACCUCUCCUGGUGAGCUAGUACACAAGCAAGAAAAACAAAAGGUAUAGCUUGGACCCAUAGGGGGCAUAGGAGAAUGAAAUGCUGCCAUUGCCACUGGUAAAAGUACGGCAAUUUUAAAAUGCCAUAUUUUUUUAAAAAAAUUACUAAUACUAUUUAUGCAUUACCUGCAGAAUACUAAUAAUAAUUAAAUUGUGGAAGUGUGGAAAAAAAUUGAGUAGGUGUCUUCAGCACUACUGGUAUUAUUUAAUAUUUAUACAUUUCAGAUUUUAAAUUCAGUUUAAGAAUAUUAUUUCUAUUUAUACAAAUGAAAAUUAUUGAUUAUCUUAACCCCAAAUCUGAAAAAUACUUGUUUACAAAAAGCCCGAUACACUUCUUUCCUGAUCCUGUACACAAUAUGUGGACAAAUAUUCCUCCGAAAUCAAUGGAGCCUAUUCCCACCUAAUAGCCCCCUUCCCCCAGACAAGCGAUGCUCAUCUACACAAAAGUGCUGGAGUGUCUGAGUAUUUUGUGUGUAGGAGCUGCGAGAGGCAGCAACACAGAUCAUGCCCUAGUGCUGAAGCAAAGCCCCACACAUUGCGGAGGUCAGAGCUAACUGCUUGCCUGAAUUGUCUUCCGUUCCCUGUGCAUUUUGAGGCACAGCAGCCAGUUGCUUCUCCCCAUCUCCCCACACAGUGCUCUGCCUUUCCCCUUGCAGCCCAUCUCUCCCUGGGAUUUGCUCCCACCCCUGCAUGGGCCACCCAGCGGCCUCUCCACGUGGAAUAAGGAAUCACUUGCAUUCAAGUUAAUGUCUUUAGGAUCAGAAUGCCAAAUCAGAAACAUCUUUAAAGACAUCUGUUAAAAUAGUGGACCUGUGCAAUUCAUUAUCACAAAAAAGAGCAAUCAAAACUAGGUGCAAUCACAGAUGAUUUGCAACAGGUAGCCAAGGCAGACCUCUUCAUCAAAAUCAAUAAAGAUCUUGUGGCACAGGUAUCAUGCCAUAAGUUUUCACCAGAUGCAGGAAGUUUUAUUCUGAAGAUAACUUUUGUUCCUCUAAACGUCUAUGCCUUGCUGAUGGAAGCCCAGGAUUCAUUAAGACUUUGAGGCCACAGAGCCUACAGACUAAGUUCCUGGACCAUGAAUCCCACUGAUAAAAGUGGAAUUUGUAAAAAGAUGAAAAUGUUUCCUUUGGUGCAUUUUCAACUAUCCUAUUACGGUGGUGGGGAAGGGGUAGAACUUGGUACUGAAUGAAAGUCUUCAUGGAAGGAACGGCAGGGGAUGGGUGGGGGGGUGGAUGGAAAUCUGUGCUGUAAUUCGAUACCCUCUUCACUUCAAAGGACAUUUCUUUAAGCUUUAAGCUUGGUAUUGGUUAAAAAAGAAUAUUUUCAAGCUUUGAAUGAAGAUUUUAAGUUAAAUACACUGCAAGCACAGAUACUUGUGUUAUAAUUGCAAACAAAAUUAUAUAUGCACAUUAUUAUAAUUUACAUUCCUGCACCCCCUCUCCUCACCCCUCCCCUCUUGUAGUCUCAAAAAUUCACUACAAGUUUCAUUGUGGGCUAAACUAGACAGUAUAUUAAAUGUGCAUAUAUCUUUAAAAUGUCUUAUUUUUACUUUAUAAAUAGCAGACACAGGAGGGGAGGGAAUCAGGAUGGUGUGGGGGGGGCACCAAUUAUUUCACUCUGUGCUGCAAUCCUGGUAUAAAAAAAAUACCCGCCACCCCCACCCCCCAAAAAACCAAGAAGCUGAUACCCCUCUCAGGAGAGAAGCUGCCAUCAAGUGCCAAGGACAGCUUCCCUCCUGGGGCAAAGAGCAACCUUUGUGCUUGGAGAAAGGACGGGCAUUUUUUUGCCAGGAGAGCAAUGCAACAAAUUUAGGGUAGAAAAACAACCCCCCUCCCCCACCUCAUGCCAGGUUCCCAAGUGGGCAUAGACCAACUCUUAUUUUUAAAUUAAAAAGUGGAUGUAUUAAAUGGAUACAUGCACAUAGUAAGUGGUCUCAUAUGACCGUCUCUCUGGUCCCCAAAAUGCUCCAAGUGUCCGUAGGUCUUCCAAUCCUCGUGCCGGGGACAUAGGGCUAGGUGUCAGUCAUCCCCUCUGCUGCUGCCUCAUUCUACACAUAGUUACUCUGCUUUUAUCGACUUACUCUCAGGUUAGCAGGACUGCAGUCUUAGUUUCAAGCCAUCGUAUCUAUGUUUGUACCAGACUUUUAUCAUGUUAAAGCCUGUCAUUUGUUGCUGUUGUUUUAACAAAUAGCAAGCACAAAGUUGCAGUUGCAAAUUCAAAGGAGCCGAAUGUCAUGAAAAGAGAAACAUAAAAUGUUAACAAUUUUUAAAUUAUUGCUUUGAUCUUUCACUUGAUUUUAUAACUAGACAGCACAGUGGCAAACUUUUGUGGCAUAUAAGGAGGGGUCAAUUCAGGUGGGGGGACCAAAAAUAUUUUCCAAGGAAUGGUGAACAGGCUGGCUAUCAUGCAAGUAGCAAUACAGAUUUGGGGUCAGUACGUUUAAAAAAUAUUAAUUUGUUUCCCGUAUUUUAUUAAUAAGAAUCAAGACAAAAAAGGAAAUAUUCCAGUUCUAAAUGUCUUCUUACUGUACAACUACAACAACUGGAGUGAAAUCCCCCUGGAAUUCACAUUCUGCUGUCUAGAAACAAGCCGUGGGUAGAAAUUGUCUGCAUUUCCUCUCACGUGUAUCUCUCAUUUUCAUUUGCCAGACGGUAGAGGGGAAACGGCAAAAGUGCAGACAAAGAGAGGGAGAACCAGCAAAGGCCAGAGAAGGAAAAAAAUCUACAUGGCUAGGCAAGGAUCUUAAAUACUGUCUUUGGGGAACACUGAUUUGUAGGAAGUCAACAAACACAAAGAUCCAAUAAUGUUUUUGUGUGUCUCUUGAUUUGAGAUUUGUAGGAAUUUGGUGAUAAAACCAAGGGUUUGAAGAUGCAGUUCAACAUGUUAUUCUUAAUUUAUAAAGCUUAUUCAAGAAUGAGGCUGAAAUGAGAAAGUUUGUUUAGUGGAAAAUGCAAAGCAGAAUUAGGUCCCGUAGUUCAUUGCUACAUGGUCACUACAUGUUGUGGUGAAUGAGGAAGAUAGUAGUGUUGCAGAGCCAGCAUAUGAAACUCUUUAAAAUCCUUAAAGUAUUAAGUAAUCCCAUUUUUUUUAUGCUGUGCUUGCAGCAUGCUCUGUUUUUCCAUUUUACCACAUAGAGCAAAACCCGAGGAAAAAGCUCUCUAAAUUAAGUAGUUGCAGUUUGAGAUUAGAAAGAAAAAGUUUAAGACAGCCACCAUUUCCUUUAGUGAGGCAGAAAAUACAGCUGAGGUGAAGGAUGAUUUCAGUUAUCUGCAGAAUGAUUUCCAGCAGCCAUCCCAAUCGAGACAAUGCAGCUGAUGACAAGAUUUACUCCCUACAUUUCUGCUUCUUUCCACCCCCAUGUUAGGCAACCCUUGCAUUCGAGAAUCUCUUCCUCUCUAACAAAGAAAUGUCUGCAGACCACCCAAGGAUCCUUGUCCUGAGGAAAUUCUGUAAACAAAAUUAAACUCCAUUAGCCAAGCAUUUUUAACAAUGAUAAAAGAAAUAAAAAUUGACCAAUCAGGUUUAUGCAGGAGUAUAGGUGCAAUAAAACUUUACAUUACCUGCAGUAUCUAAAAUAGUUUCUCAUACUUGCACAUCCCCAUAUUUCUAUGUUUGCUUUUACUUUCACAAAACUAAAAUAAAAACUUAGUACCAAAAGGCUGGCAAGGGAUGGGGUCAAACAGGAAAUGGGUGAAAUAGUCGUCUAUCAUCAUCAUCCAUCAUCAUUUCUAUGCCACUUUAUUUUGUGGGGGGUUGUCUCAAAGCGGUUUAGACCAAAGGAAGGAGAUAAGAGAAGUAUUUUUACAUAGCAUCUAACAGCACCUCCCAAAAAAACAAAGCAGCAUUUGCAGAAGGUAAAUUUGCAUUUGCAAAAAUUAAGAAACAACAUUUCAACACAACUCUGCAUUUUCUAUAAAAUCUUAAAGCUUGGGGAGAACUAGCUGUGAAUGCUGUAUCUGAGUAUGUUUUGGCUAUUAGUUGUAUCUUUUUCAAAAUCAAUACAAUCGGGACAAUGGAAUUCUAAUAAUGUGCUGAAAGUAGAGUCUUCAACAUUUUAAAAUACAUGUCUUGAAUAUUACUAACCUGUAGCAGCAGCAUGUGAGAGACACAGUUAUAGAGUGAAUGUAAAACAUACAUUUCCCCAUAUGACUAGAAAGCAUUUAAAUAGCGUGACACGUCUUGUAACAGCCCCCGCAGCCUUCAAGCUUUCAGUUCAGCCAGUGCUUUAUUGUUAGUUGUCAAUAUUCCUUUAUUGCACACUUACUGUUCUUUGAAGAUUGAAUUUUGGCAAACCACAACAUACUUCACACCAAAUUAAAAGAGCAAAGUAUAUCAUGAACUUUUAAUGGAGUUUUCUAAAAAAAAAAAUUAUAUGCAUAUCAUAAUAAGAUUCUCUCCCCCCCCCCCCCAGCCACCAAAAUGAAAUACUAAUUAAACUCUCCUUCCUUGGAGGUUUUUAAAGAGAGGUUGGAUGGUCAUCUGUCAUGGCUGCUUAAGUUGAGAUUCCUGCAUUGCAGGAAGUUGGACUGGAUGACCCUUGGAGUCUCUUCCAACUCUAAGAUUCUGUGAUUCUAUGAAUAUGGUGAUGUAUUCUGUUUCCAUGUAACACUGCUGGGGUGCAGGAGGACAAAUUGCUGUUCUGAAGUAUCAAGUUCAUAAGGAUCUGACACGUGUUCUGUUUCUGCAUUUUUGAUGCACAAAUCACACUUUUGAGAACUGACUUUAUACUGGCGUUUAUAACAUUGCUUUUUUUAAAAAAUUGGGUGCAAUAUAAUUCAUGUGGCAAAUCAAAUGUGAAUUGUGUAUAAAAGUUCUUACACACUGUGAGCUUUUAGGCCAACAGCCGUCAGCUGGACCAUUUUGGAAAUGGCAACUUCCACCAACAGGACAAUGUUUUAUGCAUAUUUUGAAAACCCAAACACAUAUUGGGUAAAUAUAUCCUUAAUUUUAAAACCCAGUAAUGCUUUCUUAGCACAUAUUUUUACAUCCACCCACCCACCAUGAAUGCAGACUUUUUGAAAUGAAUUAAGAUUUGUUCUGGGCGCAUGUCUUGCUGCAAUCUCCGUCUUGUGUAUGUCAAGAAAAAAUAAUAAUAAUGUAAAGAACAGCGCAAGUUUUCUAAAUAAAGUAAACGUCUUCUUUGUUUGAGAGCUCCCCAAUGUGUAAAGUUUGCUUGUGUACCGUGCCUUCCCCCUCCUUCUGCCGUGAAGUCAGGCUGCUAAGCCCAGAGCAGAGCAUCCCUGCUGGAGCAAUGGGCUGGCCGGCCAGAGUUGCCAUGUGUCUGCCUGUCUACACUUGCUGUGCAGAACAUGCACUCACCUGUACAGCAGGCACAGACAGGCAGUCACAUGACAACCCAGCCUGAAAGACAACCAGCCAAUGAGAGAGCCUCUCUGACGAGAGCAUCUUCACCACGUCACUUCUGGAUCUCAUUCUGUUGGUUCAAGAACUAAAAUCAUGUAUACAGUUUAUUGCCAGUUUGUACAAAACUUCUGAAGGAAGCCAGCGAUUAACAGUACCUACAAAAUGCAAUAAAACCCACUGCUG
This 6099-nucleotide long non-coding RNA is filed under the name Podarcis lilfordi (Lilford's wall lizard). The stretch from base 5814 to 5914 matches the Rfam family "mir-214 microRNA precursor family". The record is from RNAcentral. Lineage: Eukaryota; Metazoa; Chordata; Lepidosauria; Squamata; Lacertidae.